AGCGAACGCUGGCGGCAGGCCUAACACAUGCAAGUCGAACGAACCUUUCGGGGUUAGUGGCGGACGGGUGAGUAACACGUGGGAACGUGCCUUUAGGUUCGGAAUAACACAGGGAAACUUGUGCUAAUACCGAAUGUGCCCUGCGGGUGAAAGAUUUAUCGCCUUUAGAGCGGCCCGCGUCUGAUUAGCUAGUUGGUUGAGGUAAUGGCUCACCAAGGCGACGAUCAGUAGCUGGUCUGAGAGGAUGAUCAGCAACAUUGGGACUGAGACACGGCCCAAACUCCUGCGGGAGGCAGCAGUGGGGAAUCUUGCGCACUGGGCGAGAGCCUGACGCAGCCAUGCCGUGUGAAUGAUGAAGGUCUUAGGAUUGUAAAAUUCUUUCACCGGGGACGAUAAUGACGGUACCCGGAGAAGAAGCCCCGGCUAACUUCGU
RNAcentral lists this ribosomal RNA (433 nucleotides) under uncultured bacterium. Its description in RNAcentral is "partial 16S ribosomal RNA". It matches the Rfam family "Bacterial small subunit ribosomal RNA", at positions 29 to 506 of the family's 1533-position model. The record is from RNAcentral.